CCUACGGGAGGCAGCAGUGGGGAAUAUUGGGCAAUGGGCGCAAGCCUGACCCAGCAACGCCGCGUGAAGGAAGAAGGCUUUCGGGUUGUAAACUUCUUUUAUGAGGGACGAAAGAAAUGACGGUACCUCAUGAAUAAGCCACGGCUAACUACGUGCCAGCAGCCGCGGUAAUACGUAGGUGGCAAGCGUUAUCCGGAUUUACUGGGUGUAAAGGGCGUGUAGGCGGGACUGCAAGUCAGAUGUGAAAAUUAUGGGCUCAACCCAUAACCUGCAUUUGGAACUACCGGGCUGGAGUGCCGGAGAGGUAGGCGGAAUUCCUAGUGUAGCGGUGAAAUGCGUAGAUAGUAGGAGGAACACCAGUGGCGAAGGCGGCCUACUGGACGGUGACUGACGCUGAGGCUCGAAAGCGUGGGGAGCAAACAGGAUUAGAUACCCCUGUAGUC
This 443-nucleotide ribosomal RNA is filed under the name uncultured bacterium. RNAcentral describes it as "partial 16S ribosomal RNA". It matches the Rfam family "Bacterial small subunit ribosomal RNA", at positions 338 to 795 of the family's 1533-position model. The record is from RNAcentral.